This 74-nucleotide transfer RNA is filed under the name Candidatus Zixiibacteriota bacterium. RNAcentral's name for it is "candidate division Zixibacteria bacterium tRNA-Arg". It matches the Rfam family "tRNA". Rfam says of the family: Transfer RNA (tRNA) molecules are approximately 80 nucleotides in length. Lineage: Bacteria; Pseudomonadati; Candidatus Zixiibacteriota. The record is from RNAcentral.
GCCCUCGUAGCUCAGCUGGAUAGAGCAAGGGUUUCCUAAACCCUAGGCCGCGCGUUCGAAUCGCGCCGAGGGCA